Long non-coding RNA from Heterocephalus glaber (naked mole-rat), 4984 nucleotides. RefSeq lists it as uncharacterized. The record is from RefSeq and is a predicted model, not a curated record. NCBI's taxonomy places the organism in Eukaryota, Metazoa, Chordata, Mammalia, Rodentia, Bathyergidae.
GUGUUCUUUCCGUGCAUGGCAUAAAUGAGUGGAAUCCCCUGUUCUGGGACCCUGAAUGUCACGCACAGAGCGGCCUGCUUACUGUGUGACUUUCCAUAAGUCAUUCAGCCUCUCUGGGCUUGGAUUCCCCAGCUGUCAGCAUUCUCUGUCAUUCCCUCAGAAUGGUGGAGCAGGUCAGAGAUAACAGGAGGAGAAAGCACACUGCCUGGCCCCACAGAGCUCGGGAGAGUGCUGCUCUGUUCCCCUGCAGGCACAGGAGCAGGAAGGAGGGUUAAGAGCAGGAAGGUGACGGAAACAGGCCAGGAGCUGAAGGUGAGCAAGGCCCGAGGCCGACUGCUGGGGAGCGGGAGGUGGCCCUUCUCGGGCACUAGGGAACAGCACUUUCACUUAGAAACGUGUUUUCAACAGAAAGCUUCUGUGUUUUUAAAAGCCACGUGUCUUCAACACUUUAGGCUCAGGAGUUGAUAAAGCUUACAUCUUUGUCACCCAAGAGCCUCACGCGCUCAUAAGCCGGGCUUUUGGAAGGUGCUUGGAUUAUGGGAGUUUAUAGCUGGCUUGCUGUUAGGAAGCCGGUCUGAUGGAAGAGGCGGUCCCUGGGGGCGAGGCCUGGAAGGGCUCCUCUCCCUCCCCGGCUCCUCCCUCUUCUCUCUGCUUCCUGUCAGGCUGCAGUGAGCAGCUCUCCUCCUCCACGCGCCCCCUGCCAUGUCACCCAGCCUUGGAGCGAGCCAACUUUGGGCUGAAACCACUACAUACCCAUGACAAAAGAUCCUUGUGAUGAUUGCGUCCAACCCCCUCAUUUUACAGAUUGGGAACCUGAGGCUCAAAGAGGAAAAGCAAUGAGUCGGGGUCAACAUAUCCAAGAGAUGUAAAUCUGAACACCCUGGAAGACAAAAACAUUGGAGACAAUUAGUCCAGGUCUAGGGACUUCACAGCGUCACAGAGAAGACACCCCAGGCCCUCAUUCCAGGUGAGCGGUGCUGUGGGUUGAACCGUGUCCCCUAAAGCUGUACUGAAGCCCUAAGUCCUUGUACCUGUAAAUGAGACCUUACUUGGAAUUAGGGACACCAAGUUUAAAAGAAAUCAUAGAAAUGAGGAUGGGCUGAGCUCCAACAUGGCCCGUGUCCUAAGAAGACAAGGACACAGAGACACAGAAGAAUGUAACGACAGUGGCAGAGGGAAUGAUGCAGCUACUAGCCAAGGAAUGUCAAAGAUUGCCAGCAACAUGAGAGGCAACACCAGAGGCCAGAACAGAUCCUCUCGAAGCCCGCAGAGGUGGGUGGCCCUGCCCGAACCUUGAUUUUAGACUCUUGGGCUCCAGAACUAUGAGACAAUCAAUUCCAGCUGUUUUAAGCCACCAAGUUUGUGGUCCUUUGUCACAGCAGCCCCAGAAAUGAAUAGGGGCAGCACAUUCCUGCUCCAUUCUAACCAUGAAAAUGAUGUUGAAAGACUUCGUGACCAUUUCCCAGCUUUACAUUGGUAACUGCCUUUAAUUCCCCUCUAUUAUACCAGCAUUCUUCCCAUUAUGCAGAUGAGGAAACUGGGACUUGGAGAAGUAGGCUCACCCCAGAUCUCAGCUUGGCAGUGCUGAAGGCUCCAGAGGCCAGGUCUACCGUGGAUCACUGCUGUUAACCCUAAGCUAUCGGAGGGCACACAGAUAUCCUGAUGUUGGAUUUGGGAGAAGGUGGCUCUGCUGAAGCUCCCAUGGGACCUGGGGACCAGAGACAUGCAGGACAUAUCCAGAGAGAGCUGGGACAUCUCUUCUGGACAAGGUUGCUGCCCGAGCCCUGUGGAAGCUGAGCAACAGCUCAGCAUGACGUCUCUGUGGAGGCCAAAACUGCCCAAGAGAAUGGCUACUCCAACGCCCUGACGCGGGCCUUUGCCUCUGCUCACUUAGCUUGUCAUUUGGGGUUUGUAUGUUUGGAACAUGUGUAGCUCAUUGGCUAAGUCUGCCCCCUGCCCCACCGGGAAUUGAACUCAGGGCCUUGGCUUGCCAGGCAGGUGCUGCUGCUGAGCUACAUCCCUGCCCCUCAAUACUCUGAAUUAAAGGAUGGGGAGGCUUCUUUCCUGGGAGCACCCCGCGUGCAGGACUUGACACACCUUUCCAGGCCAAUAGUCCCCUUCACUUCAUUUUAUUAGAGAUUUUUAAAUUAACUGCACAAGUCAGAUUUGUGGAAUAGACUAGGAAGUGUAGCAGAUGUAGGUAGGGCUGAUUCCCAUUCAUUUUCAUUUCUUGUCCUCCCUGCUUCCCACAAGGGGCCGCGAUGGAGCACAGUGCAAGAUCCUUUGCCAGGCCCCAGACCUGUGGUGUCAGCAUCCCCUUUGGGCUACAGUUUUAUAUUACCAGGCUCCUGGCCAAGUUGACUCCUCAGGGUGAGGUCUGGAAAUUUGUGAUUCAACAAGCUCUCCAGGUGAGAUUUUAAGGUUUGCUGAAGUUUGAGAAGGUUGCUCUGGACAGCCUGGGAUUCCUUGAGAUUCCAUCUCCUUCCCCUGAGGGGGUUACCUGGACUCCUGACUAAGCUGGUCUAUAUGCUGGAUGCUUCUGCAAAUAGAAUGAUCCCUCUCAGACACAUGACAUCAUGGAUUCUUGGCAAAUGCUUCAGCUGCUCCAGAGAUUAGCUCUAGGGCUGCCCAGCCCUGAUUUUGUUCCCGCUCCUUGCCAAUCGCUGCAUAACCUCUCUUGUUGGGACAGGAACAUCUCAGGACCAGCAGGAAGUUGACAGGAAAGCAGCAGGAAUGAGCCAUCCUUAUAUUAGUGCCCUCUACGCCCUCUAUCUUGGACCUCAUGAGAAGGGCCACGUGCAGGGCUGAGCUGGACUCCCUGGGGCCGCAAGGUGAGUGUGAACCCUUGCACAGAAUGCAGAUGGAUCUGAACUUGGGUCUCAGCUCAGCCACCCUCAUGGCCCUGCUCUUCUUCCUGCCCUGAGGUGCUCAUCAUCUUUUCUGAUAGCAGCCACCUCAGCAGUGAGUUCUCUGGAAGAAGCCAGGCACGGUUGCUCACUCACUGCACUCAGCCAGCUUCUGCCCAGCUGCUGUGUGGCUCAGGGUUCUGGAAGUGAGGGGCCUCCCUGAUGUCUUUAACUUCCUGGAGAAGUCACCCAGGAAACAUUUCUGAACCGUGGGAGGGGUGCAUCCAGUUGCUACCCUAUUUUUACCCCAUUGUCCUGAGAGAGGCCAAGGGGCUAGGACGCUGGACAUUUCUUAUUCAGUGGCCAAAUACAGCCCAUGUAUUGGAGCUGUGUUCCUCUCUCCGAUGCAGACUCCACUGGGGUUUUCAAGACAUGCCCUUCUGCGGGGAUAUUAGAAUACUGGCGAAGAGGAGGCAGGUCUGAAUCUAUUUCGAAAACACUAAGAAGCAGGAUUCAUAGUGACACAAACAUCAGGUGGGUAGUGGACCCUGGCUGGACCCCCAAGUGUCCCUUUAGGUCACAGUUCCCUUGGAGAAGACUGAGAUGUUAUGGGCCCCUGCCCCAGCACACGCAUGUGUAUCACACACACGACACACGUGCAUUUUGGAGACCAUUUCAUCAGGUUCCAAAGCCCUCUUGAAGCCUGUUCAUAGACCUCAUGCAUUCACUAAACAGACGUCCCUAGACACACAGGAGGUUGAGGGGAUACUGCACCCUCAUUGCAAAGGCUGAGAGUGCAUUCUUGUCCUAAUGACAAGAUAGUUGCUGGAAUUUGCCAGGCUGGGCCAUUACUGGUAAAUGACCCACAAUAUACAGGACAGAGAACUGCCUACUUCACCUGCCAGCAGACCCUGUUAAGAAACCUGGACAUUAUUAAAGCAGAAACUGACAACCAGAUUAGGAUUAUGUUCUGAAACAAGGAGGUACAAGGGGCCUGGAGACACAUCUAGAAUGACUGAGGAACCAGAAACAAAGACCUGUCAGGAAAGUGAUGCUUGCUUUGGACUUUAGCUCUUCUGGGUCCCAAGUUUUACUUGGAGUAAGUCUUAAAGAAGCUCAGUGUCAGAGGAACUACAGAAGGUCCAGGGUAAAUUAGGACCACUGAGCUGAGAAUCCCAGGUGCCCGGGGCCAGUUCAGAUGGGUCUGAUGGCUUCUAUGUGGCCACCAACUCUAGGCAGCUCCAGCCUUCUGGGCGUGCUGGGUAUUGGGGUCUCAGAGUGCUGGGUGGGUCUGGGCAGCUCGCCCCAGUGAAUCCCACCCCACGCAGGUCCAACUGUCAGCUUCCUUGGAGACAGGAGUCAGCACUGGUAGCCUCUCCAGGACCCAGAACCCAACAAGAGGCCAAGAUUUCAUGGAGAGAUUCAUCUCCACAUUGCAAACCAAUCAUGUAGACUUGAGCUGGUCUCUCAGCCACGAAACCGACCCACGGGAUGUUUAACAAAUUCUUGCUGGUGAAUGCCAGACCAGGAGAACCACAAAAGAAGUGAAAAGACAUUUUUAAACUCAAAAAUAUCCUUCCUUUGAAAAUGUAAUAUUUAGAAAAAUAACAGUUAAAAAAAAAGAAACCUCCAUUAUUCAAAACAGGAUAAAUGGAAAAGACAUUUCAAAUAAAAAAAAGUUUGUAUUAGGGAUGGAGGGAGGUGGCCCUUCUCUCCUUUGGGUAGCAGGAUAAACAUGGUGUGCCAGCCCCCCUUGCCAGCGAAAAAGGAGAGCAUAAAGGAUGGCGAAGGAUUUUCCAUGGACAGGCAGGAGGAAUGAAGGGAGACUCAUAACUUACUAAAAUCCACUCACAGCUGAAAUAAUAUUGGAAAUAUUGCAAGUGACUCCAAGCAGUUAAAAAUGUUACCUCAUUACAGUCCACAUAAAAUUCCUAAUCUAUAUGCCUACAUUUUGUAUAAUUUUCUUAAACACAUUUACAAAGUAGAGCAAGCUGUGACGCCCCUUUGGAAGACAGGGAUGCGUAAAUAAAUCCUGGGGAAAAGUAUGGGAAAAUCUUACCCCAAAAAGGUCGUCUUGUCCCCUUUGACCAUUGUUCAUAUCAUGGAGUAAUUUAAAUAAAUCUUUUUAAUACAAAAAA